GUAGGUGGCAAGCGUUGUCCGGAAUUAUUGGGCGUAAAGCGCGCGCAGGCGGUUCUUUAAGUCUGAUGUGAAAGCCCACGGGCUCAACCGUGGAGGGUCAUUGGAAACUGGAGAACUUGAGUACAGAAGAGGAAAGCGGAAUUCCACGUGUAGCGGUGAAAUGCGUAGAGAUGUGGAGGAACACCAGUGGCGAAGGCGGCUUUCUGGUCUGUAACUGACGCUGAGGCGCGAAAGCGUGGGGAGCAAACAGGAUUAGAUACCCUGGUAGUCCACGCCGUAAACGAUGAGUGCUAAGUGUUAGGGGGUUUCCGCCCCUUAGUGCUGCAGCUAACGCAUUACGCACUCCGCCUGGGGAGUACGGCCGCAAGGCUG
This 372-nucleotide ribosomal RNA is filed under the name uncultured organism. Its description in RNAcentral is "partial 16S ribosomal RNA". It matches the Rfam family "Bacterial small subunit ribosomal RNA", at positions 527 to 896 of the family's 1533-position model. The record is from RNAcentral.